UUUUUUUUUUUUUUUUUUUUGAGAAAGGGUCUUGCUCUGUUACCCAGGCUGGAGUGCAGUGAUCACAGCUCACUGUAACCUCAAACUCCUGGGCUCCGGUGAUCUUCCUGCCUCAGCCUCCUCAGUAGCUGGCACUAGGGGCACAUGCUGCUGUGCCUGGCUGAUUUUUUUUUCUUGUUUUUGUAGAGACCAGUUCUCUCUAAGCACAAAGACUUAUUUGUGCUUUCAACAUCAAAACUUAUAACAGGCCUGUAAUCCCAACACUUUGGGAGGCUGAGGCAGGUGGGUCACGUGAGGUCAGGAGUUCGAGAUCAGCCUGGGCAACAUGGUGAAACCCCUAUCUCUACUAAACAUACAAAAAUUAGCCAGGCAUCAUGGCCUGCGCCUGUGGUCCCAGCUACUAGGGAGGCUGAGGCAGGUGGGUCACGUGGGGUCAGGAGUUCGAGAUCAGCCUGGGCAACAUGGUGAAACCCCCAUCUCUACUAAAAAUACAAAAAUUAGCCAGGCAUCAUGGCCCACGCCUGUGGUCCCAGCUACUAGGGAGGCUGAGGUGGAAGGAUCGCUUAAGUCCUGGGGUCAAGGUUGCAGUGAGUUAUUAUCGUACCACUGUACUCCAGCCUGGGCAACAGUGAGACCCUGCCUCAAAAAAAAAAAAGAAAAUGAAACAAAAACUUACUUGCCUACUCCCACCUAAUUAGGUAGGAACAUCACCUAUAUCCCAAUAUUUAACUUUGUUACAUAAUGUUUGAGCUGAGGAGGAAGUUCUGAGAUCAUAAAGAACAAUUCCUUUAUUUUUCAGAGAAUCUGUGUGCCUAGAGAGGUUAUAUAUUUUGUUCUCACCAUUUAGCAGUUUGAAAAAUCUGUAUCACUUUUAUAUCACAGAACAUUCCUCAACAAUGAAUCGUCAUGGUCCCAUUUAAAAAGCCUUGAUGCAGGCACUACCAUCCGUGCUUCAUACAUCCCAAACCUCUUCACGUAGAUAGUUAUCCCAGCCUUUGCCUCUAAUGCACUGAUUUCUAAUUCUAAAUGCAGAGAUGGUGAAUUUGCAGCAACUAGGCAAGGAGCUUUUGGGGCUACCUGGGCCUGCAAUUGUCUAAGAAAUAAGUUUUAAGAAUUCAGAGGCUGAAAACAGCAAUCCUACUUGGGAUGUCGUCAUGCUUACUUCAGCCUGAAUCACACAGAAGAAAGCCUUCAAGCAUGGACCUGAAGCAAUGCUGUAAACACAAACAUCAAAAGGAAGAGGAGGCCAGGUGUGGUGGCUCACGCAUGUAAUCCCAGCACUUUGGGAAGCGGAGGCAGGUGGAUCACCUGAGGUCAGGAAUUCAAGAUCAGCCUGGCCAACAUGGUGAAACCCUGUCUCUGCU
This 1364-nucleotide long non-coding RNA is filed under the name Homo sapiens (human). RNAcentral describes it as "non-protein coding lnc-ETF1-1:1". The record is from RNAcentral. Lineage: Eukaryota; Metazoa; Chordata; Mammalia; Primates; Hominidae.